This 405-nucleotide ribosomal RNA is filed under the name uncultured bacterium. RNAcentral describes it as "bacterial SSU rRNA". It matches the Rfam family "Bacterial small subunit ribosomal RNA", at positions 354 to 776 of the family's 1533-position model. The record is from RNAcentral.
GUGGGGAAUAUUGGACAAUGGGCGCAAGCCUGAUCCAGCCAUGCCGCGUGGAUGAUGAAGGCCUUAGGGUUGUAAAGUCCUUUUAACGGGGAAGAUAAUGACGGUACCCGUAGAAUAAGCCCCGGCUAACUUCGUGCCAGCAGCCGCGGUAAUACGAAGGGGGCUAGCGUUGCUCGGAAUUACUGGGCGUAAAGCGCACGUAGGCGGCUUAUUAAGUCGGGGGUGAAAUCCUGGAGCUCAACUCCAGAACUGCCUUCGAUACUGAUGAGCUUGAGUUCGGGAGAGGUGAGUGGAACUGCGAGUGUAGAGGUGAAAUUCGUAGAUAUUCGCAAGAACACCAGUGGCGAAGGCGGCUCACUGGCCCGAUACUGACGCUGAGGUGCGAAAGCGUGGGGAGCAAACAGG